UUUACCAAGACAUUGUACUUGGUAGAGAGUCAGCGAAAAACAGGAACACCCUGAAUGGAAUGGACUGACACAGUGGCUGCAACAAUGGGCUCAAACAUAGCAAUAAUUCUGAAGAUGUCACAGGAUGGGACAGUGUUCUGUUCUGUUGUACAUAGGGUUGCUAUGAGUCAGAACCAACUAGACGGCAGGCACCUAACAAGAUUCACCACUAUGAACUCAGUGUCUAGCACAGUGCCUGACUUCAAUGAAAAGUGCAAUAAAUAUCUGUGAAAUAAAGAAAAAAUGGAAAAAGUAGUUAAUUUGGAGUAGGGAUAUAAAUUAUGAAUAUGUACAUUAGCACAACUAUGAAAUAUUUGUCUUUCUAUGACUUUGAUUUCACAAAUACUACAUUUAACCAGAUAUACUAGUGACUAGCUGGAUUCUACCAUACAGAAUAAAUUUUGGCUCUUAGCUGCAUUUUACAUCUUCAAUGGACAGAAUAUAAUAGUACCAAAUAUAUAAAAUGGGUUGUAUGAGGAGAUGUCACUGAGUAGGGUUGGUUUGACAUCUCUGUGUUUAGAAGCCUUAAUUUUGAUCUAUCCCUGGUAGACUGAAUGGAAUGAAUUAAUGUAAGUGAAGAUGGAGAGUAGAGUGGAUGGGUUUAAACAUGCAAAUAUAGACUCAGCCUUUUAAAAGACCAGGUCAUUAGUCAGACCUGCUCACACUGGGAAGCUUUUUGCCUGUGAUAAGCACUGUUAAAAGGAUGUGGUUCUAUUCCAUGAAAGCGUUGUAUGAUAAUUUUUGAAAUGUCAGAAUGAAUUUAGUGGAAUUUCACAACUCAAAUGUCACCUAAAAAAGCGAGAAUUACAUGAAAUUACUUAAGGAAACAGUUUGAAAAGGAAGAUCUACUGACUGUGGGCAAUUCAGAUGCAUUUACAAAAAAUUGCAUAGUCCCAAAUCAGAAAGGAAGCUCUUGAGGCAGCGUGCUCUUUUAGUGUGUUAAAGAAACCCAUGUCACAGUAAGGCAUUUCUGUCAUUUAAAGGAGCUGAAGAGCUGAUGAGGAGCUAGGACGUCCCUGAGUUUCUUUUCUUUGAUCAUUUUCUGGCCGGCAUAGAAGAUAUAUCAUGACGCUGAGAACAAUAUUACUGGAAAGACAAAUUGAAGUAUUUCAACAGCAGGCAUCUACAGAAGAUUUUGCUCAGAGACUAUGACCAGCUCACAUCAAGCAUUGUUGUUCUUUAUGAACAGCUUGAGAGAAAACUUGCAGAAAGCCUGCAAAAGCUGUAAGGCCAGUGAAUUCACACACCAUCUAGCAUCUUUACUGUAAGUAUACGUGUGUGUUUUAUUCUGUUAAAUGAUAUAUCACAGAAAAAUUACAUAAUUCUUCAAGGUGCCUUCCCUUAAAGCGAAGUUCCUUUGCCUUGCCUCUUAGAAAAACAUAAAAACUAAGAUAAAAUUGAGAAAGUUUGUUUGAUACCACAGGUUGCAUUGUUUAGCAUAAAGUUGUGAACAGGCCUUAAUGAAAUAAAUUCCAUCUAUGAAUCUUUCAGUUUCUAAAAGUUUUAAAAUGAUUAUCUAUCUCUAAAAAAAUAGUACAUGUUUGUAUUUUUAUUUCAUUUAAAGACUCACAUUAAGUAAAAUGACUUAUCAUUGGCUUUUGUUGAUUUAGGACUGAGUUGAGUAUUGAAAGGUAAUUAUGGAGAAACAGCUAUAAUUUGGGGGUUAGUUACCUUGCUUUAAGACUGCAGGUAAUUGUUAGGACAGAGAUCUAUAAAAUGGAAGCAUAAACAAGAAAAAGUAAUGAAGAAAAGAAUAUCAUUAUAAAUAAUUAUUUACUAUGUAUGUUUUUUGGGGCUUUAGGUGAAAGUUUACAGAGAAAGUUAAUUUCUCAUUAAAUAAUUAAUACACGUAUUGUUUUGUGACAUUGGUUGCCAACCCCAAUACAUGUCAACACUCUCCUCUUUUAGACCUUGGGUUCUCCAUUUCAAGCUUUCCUGUCCCCUUCUGCCUUCUUGUCCUUGCCCCUGGGCUGGUGUG
Molecule: long non-coding RNA, 2017 nt
Organism: Loxodonta africana (African savanna elephant)
Lineage: Eukaryota; Metazoa; Chordata; Mammalia; Proboscidea; Elephantidae
Exons: 3
Source: RefSeq, a predicted model, not a curated record